CUUCUUUGGCUGCCUCAUUGCGAGUCCUCACUCCUCAGAUCCAAAAACUCCAUCCAUUCAACACUUCUCCAAUCUUAUAUAGGUAAAAAAUUGGACGCCCAAGAACCACAUCUUCACCGUCUCACAUCGCCGUCAUCGUUAGCUGCAACCACAGCCAUUCUGGAAAAUCCUAAUAUUUGUUGGAUCUGUCCAUUUGGGCUUUUCACUAUUGGACUUGUUUUCAGACCCAUUAUUUGUCUUGACCUAUUUUUUUAGGUCUGUGUAAAUUUGUAUUUGUUGAUUUAAGCCCAUUUAUUUUAUUUUUUUGUUUA
Molecule: long non-coding RNA, 311 nt
Organism: Camelina sativa (false flax)
Lineage: Eukaryota; Viridiplantae; Streptophyta; Magnoliopsida; Brassicales; Brassicaceae
Source: RefSeq, a predicted model, not a curated record